AGUCACAUCACAUUGAAACACCGGCUCACCUAUGAUCAUCGAAGUUAAACAUCAUCGAACCCGGUCAGUACUUAGAUGGGUGACCGCUUGAGAAUACAAGAUGCUGAAA
Molecule: non-coding RNA, 109 nt
Organism: Acanthosepion pharaonis
Lineage: Eukaryota; Metazoa; Mollusca; Cephalopoda; Sepiida; Sepiidae
Source: the annotation of a GenBank genome assembly